AGAAUCAACGCUGGCGGCGUGCCUAACACAUGCAAGUCGAACGCGAAAGGGGAGCAAUCCCUGAGUAGAGUGGCAAACGGGUGAGUAACACGUGGGUGACCUGCCUUCGAGUGGGGGAUAACGUUCCGAAAGGAACGCUAAUACCGCAUGACAUCCUGUCCUUGGAAGGACGGAGAUCAAAGCUGGGGAUCGUAAGACCUGGCGCUUGAAGAGGGGCCCGCGCCUGAUUAGCUAGUUGGUGAGGUAACGGCUCACCAAGGCUACGAUCAGUA
Molecule: ribosomal RNA, 272 nt
Filed under: uncultured bacterium
Lineage: Bacteria
Description: partial small subunit ribosomal RNA
Rfam family: Bacterial small subunit ribosomal RNA
Source: RNAcentral